This 482-nucleotide ribosomal RNA is filed under the name uncultured bacterium. RNAcentral's name for it is "partial 16S ribosomal RNA". It matches the Rfam family "Bacterial small subunit ribosomal RNA", at positions 30 to 507 of the family's 1533-position model. The record is from RNAcentral.
AUUGAACGCUGGCGGCAUGCUUUAAACAUGCAAGUCGAACGGUAACAGGCCGCAAGGUGCUGACGAGUGGCGAACGGGUGAGUAAUGCAUCGGAACGUUCCCAGUCGUGGGGGAUAACUACUCGAAAGAGUAGCUAAUACCGCAUACGAUCUAUGGAUGAAAGCGGGGGACCGUAAGGCCUCGCGCGAUUUGAUCGGCCGAUGUCAGAUUAGGUAGUUGGUGGGGUAAAGGCUCACCAAGCCAACGAUCUGUAUCUGGUCUGAGAGGACAACCAGCCACACUGGGACUGAGACACGGCACAGACUCCUACGGGAGGCAGCAGUGGGGAAUUUUGGACAAUGGGCGCAAGCCUGAUCCAGCAAUGCCGCGUGCAGGAAGAAGGCCUUCGGGUUGUAAACUGCUUUUGUACGGAACGAAACGGCUCUGGUUAAUACCCGGGGCUAAUGACGGUACCGUAAGAAUAAGCACCGGCUAACUACGUG